This 497-nucleotide ribosomal RNA is filed under the name uncultured bacterium. RNAcentral's name for it is "partial 16S ribosomal RNA". It matches the Rfam family "Bacterial small subunit ribosomal RNA", at positions 28 to 507 of the family's 1533-position model. The record is from RNAcentral.
GAUGAACGCUGGCGGCGUGCCUAAUACAUGCAAGUCGAGCGAACAGACGAGGAGCUUGCUCCUCUGACGUUAGCGGCGGACGGGUGAGUAACACGUGGAUAACCUACCUAUAAGACUGGGAUAACUUCGGGAAACCGGAGCUAAUACCGGAUAAUAUAUUGAACCGCAUGGUUCAAUAGUGAAAGACGGUUUUGCUGUCACUUAUAGAUGGAUCCGCGCCGCAUUAGCUAGUUGGUAAGGUAACGGCUUACCAAGGCAACGAUGCGUAGCCGACCCGAGAGGGUGGUCGGCCACACUGGAAGUGAGACACGGUCCAGACGCCUGCGGGAGGGAGCAGUAGGGAAUCUUCCGCGAUGGGCGAAAGCCUGACGGAGCAACGCCGCGUGAGUGAUGAAGGUGUUCGGAUCGGAGAGCUCUGUGAUUAGGGGGGAGCGAAUGUGUGAGUAACUGUGCAGGUCUCGACGGUACCGGGGGAGAAAGCCGCGGCUAACUACGUG